Molecule: long non-coding RNA, 5474 nt
Organism: Oreochromis niloticus (Nile tilapia)
Lineage: Eukaryota; Metazoa; Chordata; Actinopteri; Cichliformes; Cichlidae
Exons: 2
Source: RefSeq, a predicted model, not a curated record
AAAAUAGGAAGAUCAGAGAGAAACACAUUUUUACACUACAUAAAAGAAAGCUAAAAGGGGUAAACGUUCAAUAAAUAAAAUCAUAGCACACUGAUGUGUGUGAGCUGCUGAUUGGGUUACCAAAACCAACUAACGCUUCAUUUGCAUGGCAAAGCACCUUUUUGAAAUCCCUGAAAAGGUACAGACUGAUUUAUGGACUGGAGACGGCAGCGGCUGCCGAUUACUGUCGAAUUUAACAAAAUAAAAACAAAGUUUAUAAUAUCAUUAAAUAAACCUUUCUGAUAGUGGCUCCCCAUAAACAAGUUAGUCAGUCCUUCCCUGCUGUAGAUAAUAUUACCACUAGAUAAUAAGAUAAACUUCCUGUAUGAACUUUAAUCUUGUGUACUGAACUAGAGACAACAGAAAGUUCAGCCUUCAGAUCUGUGCUUCUUUUCUGCUCCACGUGCGGUGAACGAAGGAUCUAAUCCAAAGGUACUUUGACCAGAAGGAAUCCCGGCUAGGUGAUGAGCCUUAUCUCAAAUAUAGUAGAAAAGGAGCUCAUUCAUCUGCUCUAACUUGUUGUGAGGAGCCACCUAUCACACAGGGUGAUAUAAGCCUUCGACAUUCAUUGAUAAUCUACUUUUUGAAGUUUUCUCCAGUGACUCAUUAGCUAAGAGUGGGUGCGAAAGUGAUCUGGUUGCAGUUUUUAACUGAUUUUAAAUGUGCUUUUCAGCUCUGAAAUUUGAAAACCUUCAUUAAGUAUAUAAAAAAAAAAAAUGUAGAAAAAGAAAAGGAAACAAAACAAAUAAAAAAAUACAAAACAUCUGAAUUAAGAGUUUAGAGAGGGAACAGCCUCACCCCAGACUCCAGCUAAGGUGCGCUUCAAUAUUGCAUUUAACUGACCAACCCCAAUAAACCCAACUAUCCUAUUUUACUUUCUUAGUUUGAUUCUCAACUCCAAUUUUCAUUCAGAUUUUAUUAAACUAAAACAUUCUUCUUUAAGUUUAGUUUGAGUUCAGUGUACAGGUUUUGCCACCAACAGUCUCGGGAAGUGGGGUCUACCGGGGGGGGCAGUGCCAAAGUAUGUGGUACAACCAGUGUGUUCCAGUUGUGUUAGCCAGCCACGGAGAGAGCGAAGUUCUAACAUUCGAAGAGCUAAAGAGCUGAGCGUUAAAAAUAAUGCCAUGUCCACUGCAGCCACCAGUUUUGUUUUUGUUUUCUUUAACGUUUUUUUCUGUGCUUCUCCCACUCUGGUGAACUUCACUGUUAGUCUCGUCUCUGUUCCGGCACAUUCAUCAACCAAUCAGCAUUUGAACGAUGCGCAGCGCCACACACGUUGAGCGAUGUGUAGUUGGGAUUUUGGAGGACUGCACCAGAGCAUUUUUCUCCAAAGACUCUCUGUUCAUACGCAAACAGACACAACCGCGGGAGCAAAACCUGAGCAUAACCCAGGUCUCAACCACUGCUGUGAACACAGCCCAACUCUGCACGUCUGUUUCAGGGUGUUAUAUAAAUGCCAGGGUGGGGUAAGUGAAGUGAAUCCUCAGUAACCACCAUUAUCGACAUGAUUUUAAAAGGCCGGAUGUCCCUUCCAUCAUCUGCAGAGCUUUAAAUUUUGCCUUAAACUUAACAGAUCUCACAAGUUGUGCUACAAGAUCGACCUUUUUCUGUUUUCACAGCUCGCUGUCGGCAAGCGUAAUUGUUACGGUAAACUAACUGCUACAUUUAAUAACACCCUGCAAGCUACAAUGUAUGUUUUAAAUUCAAAUAUCUGAGCAGAAUCAGGGGAUGUAAGCAGUUAAGAAACAUUUCACAACUUCAUUGAAUUGAUGAGACAGAGCCAAGAUCAGGCUGAGCAGAGGUGUGAAAAAGCUACACUUCCUGCUGUACAUCACUAAAACAAGCUUACAAAUAAUGAAAGUCUUAAGCUCUGAAUACACGUCUGCACAAAAUUAAACUGAAUCACUCAGAGGUCCUGGACCCUUUAAGACCUAAAAACAAACAAACAAACAAACGUUAAGCUCAAUCCCGUCUCUACAGCAGAGUAACACCAACCUCAGCUCAGUAUGUCGUGCUCACUGUCUGUUAAAAUUAUAUGUCUUUACAGUGGCUUGAAAAAGGGGUGGAUGUCGCCAUUUGACUGGCAGGAAUAGCACCGACAACACCUCUGUGGGUGUUUCAUUAUAGAGUGUCACCAGUCUGUGGUCCACAAGGAUGAUGUGGCAUUGGUAAAGAUGCAAGACUCCAUGGCAUCAGAUUUUUACAUGAAACUCCACCGCUUUAGUUCUCGGCGUCCUAAACGUAUGAGUUUGUCAGGACAUCUUGAAAUCGUCUCAGAACGGACAGCCGGAGAAACAAGCAGUGAACGUGGUACGAGAGUGAAAAGUGCAUCGCAGGCAGACGUGCUGAUGAGGUUUCCACGUAGAGGACGACCGUUUUCUUUCAUUGUUUUUUUUUUAAUAUUCACAACACUUCUAAGCCAUUUAUGUAAAUGUACAUGCAAAUUCUGUCUUAUUUGCUGCACAGUGACAUUAGCGUGUCUGUAAUAGCCACUGCCUCACCACCGCCAGUACGAUAAGAGAACAUCAAAGCGAGCAGCUCUGAGUUUGAGUCUUUCUCGUCGAGUAUUUUUUUUUCCUCUCAACUUUCUUACCUAAAACAGUCACGAUAGAAAGAUAACUUCUUAGCGUUUCACUUAAGCUACAAAGCUCUCGUCGUUUUUCUUGUGUUGUUAAUCAAUCGUGUCCGUUUUCUCUCGCCCUACGAGCUCAAACUCGCCGCUGUUUAGUUCAGCUACAGCUAAGGUGAACAAAGGGUUAGGAUUAGAUGCAUCCACACCAAAACAGCCUAUUCAGCCUCAUGGAUGGUGUACGAAGUCUGAAAAAAACUGCCGUGAAGACAGCAGUUACUCCAACUUUUCAACAAAAUGCAUUUCUAUCCUUGGUUUGGUGAUGCCAGCAUUAUUCCAGAGGAAAGAAAAUCAUUCCUCAAGGUGACAUUGUAGCUCACCUGAUUAAGCAGGUGACUCAUUUUCCAGAAGCUAUUGCAAGGGCCGGGGUUCCAGUUUACCCCAGAGUUCAAGUUCCUGAAUGUCAUUACCCACCACUCUCCCUGCUUUCCUGUCUCUACUGAUCUGUCAUACAAAACAUUAUCCUUAAAAAUCAUUAUUUCUAGAUCUAGACCGGAUGUUUGAAUCCGAAAGAUAAAAUUUCACUGCCACUUUGUUUGUGGAACAAUCAAAAGUGAUCUAAAUGUAGUAAAACUCAAAGGUUUCUGUGGAUGACCCUGGAGAAGGACGAUUUAAACCUAUCCAGAGCUUAACCGUCUAAAAGAUGAUGCUAAAUAAUCAUGAAUACUAAACAAAUGGUAAAAUUAUUACAUCAUGAAGUUUGUUUUUGAUGCAACGCUCUCACUUUUGCUCAUGUUAAACAAUCACACCCUUUUUUUCCCCCCCCUCCAUAAAAUGCAAAGUCACUGUUGAGUUUAGCUGAAUAAAAGAGCGUUCAGUUAACAAGGUCGACGCAGAGGAAGUAAAACUCAACAUUUCCUCUGUGAGGAUUAAUGAAAUGGUCGCCUUUGUCUCUGGAUCACUCGUAGUCUUCGAAUCCCGUACAGGAUAUAACUCCCAGCUGGAUGACCCUGAGCCCAUCGCCACCCUCUGUUUUUCCUCUUCUUCUGUUGAAUUAUGUUUAAAGUUUGAGAAAAUACUUGGUAAAAACUGCAUGAUGCUUAUCAAGUUAAUGAAUAAUCAUAAUGAAAAAAAAUUAGAUUACAAUAUCUACCAAAAUUGAGAUUAUAAUAUUGUCACGAUCGAGCAGGCUUACUCCAAUUUUAAAAAUGUGAUUGUGAGUCAGUUUGACCACAAUAAAUUUGUAGUGAACCUUUGAUAUGCGAACAGCCUAAAUUUAAUCAGCUGACUCGGUUUGCGCUGUUGGUAAAACGCAUGACAAGAUGAAGUCAGACUGUAAGAGUUGCUAAAUAGCUCAUGAAUUGAUUCAAGUGCAUUGCUGGAGUGUACGGCAUUAUCACAGAUCUAUAGGAACAUUUCAGGCAGCAAAAAAUAAAUAAAUAAAGUGUUAAUUAAAACAAUUCGGUUUUUAUAGAAAUUCAUUUUAAGUUGAACUACAACUUGUUGGAUCAACUUUUAGGGUUAACAAAUCCAUUAUUACCCCAGAGUUUGUUGUCACAAAUCAAAAUCACAAUAUCAACUAAAAUAAUGUGAAUUAUAUUUGUUGUUAUGCUUCGCAGUCAUACUCUAAUGCAGUACUGUGACUCAAUCCAGUGCCACCCAGACGGUUUUGAAGAGUGAAUAGUGCAGUGAAGUCAUUGAAUAAGCAAAACAGCAACACAAAUCAUCUGUAAAAUGUUUCACACGGGAAAACUUUUAGUAUUUCUAGAUUUCUAGAACUAGACGAGCUGAUUGAAUUACCAAGACGUUAAGUACUGGUAUUAUUUAUUUAUAAAGAGUGUAAUAUACUGUAAUAUACAGAGGAUGAAUCGUGAAUUUGGACAGAGAUACAAAGCUCAAACUGUCCCUGUGUGCUUUUUACACCUGUUUUCUCAAAACAUCACCCUUGAACUACAAAAAUAAUAAUCUAACAAGCAUCUGCCAGUUUUUAAAAGAUGUGGUCUUUCGUUUGGGGUCCUGGUUUUCUCGGGGAAUGUUUUUUGUAAAGCCAGAAUAUUAACAUUACGUAAUGUUUUUUCCUUGCUUGGUCCAUGAACCACUGUGCGUCUGACACUUCUGCUCUGAGAGUUGCUCAAGAACUAACGCAAUCACCUGAGUGCACUUCUUGUGAGGUCCAGGUUCAUGUGGACUAAUUCACAGGCACGUUUCGGGGCUGGCUCGGACCACCUUGGCCCUGGAUGACAGCUGUGUGCCAGUCACAGUGACCUGACACGAUCAGAAGAUCGAUAACAAGCGGCUGGAGCCCAAUCAAACAAACAGUCGAGGCUUUUCCUCACUGAGCCCGGUAUGAGGAAGUACUGCUGGGCAGCUUGUCCCCUACAACUCCCCUCUGUCUGUGCUUCAUGCUCACCCAGAGGCUCCUCGGAGCCAGCUCUAGGGCUAGCCGAGGCUGUAAACCCUGUCAUAUCUCACAGGGUGAGACAGAAGAGCUCAAAGCAAAGACAAUGCUCCUCCAGAACAUGCUGUCAGCUGCUUGAAAAUCCCUCAGUGUCCGCUUGGACCCAGACCCAGAUAAGUGAGAAAGGAUGGAUGGACUAUAGUUGGGAAUGAGAUUGCUGCAUAUAGUCCUUCAACUUUUUUUGUAAAUGUAAAUAAAAAUCCAAUUAUUCUUGUGUUUACAAAGGAAAUAAAAAUAGUAAUAACAGUAAAAGCUGUCAGGACUUGAAUCUGUGCAACAUUUGUGUGUGUUUAACUCGACUUUCUGUCAUUCUCCUGCAUUUUUGUCCUCUUUGUUAAAAGCGUAUGAUUCUGAGGUUUUCCUUUGCUCUUUCUUAACCACUUGAAAUAAAGUUUACUGGAAAAAAGA